This is a non-coding RNA of Succinatimonas hippei YIT 12066, 79 nucleotides long. The record is from Rfam. NCBI's taxonomy places the organism in Bacteria, Pseudomonadati, Pseudomonadota, Gammaproteobacteria, Aeromonadales, Succinivibrionaceae.
CGGGUGGCAGAGCCAUAGUAACAACGAACUGUCAGAAGUCAGCAGAGGUCAUAGUAGCCAUGGAGUAGUGGUGAAGGAC